RNAcentral lists this ribosomal RNA (506 nucleotides) under uncultured bacterium. Its description in RNAcentral is "partial 16S ribosomal RNA". It matches the Rfam family "Bacterial small subunit ribosomal RNA", at positions 29 to 523 of the family's 1533-position model. The record is from RNAcentral.
AGUGAACGCUGGCGGUAGGCCUAACACAUGCAAGUCGAACGGCAGCACAGGGGAGCUUGCUCCCUGGGUGGCGAGUGGCGGACGGGUGAGGAAUACAUCGGAAUCUACUCUGUCGUGGGGGAUAACGUAGGGAAACUUACGCUAAUACCGCAUACGACCUACGGGUGAAAGUGGGGGACCGCAAGGCCUCACGCGAUUGAAUGAGCCGAUGUCGGAUUAGCUAGUUGGCGGGGUAAAGGCCCACCAAGGCGACGAUCCGUAGCUGGUCUGAGAAGAUGAUCAGCCACACUGGAACUGAGACACGGUCCAGACUCCUACGGGAGGCAGCAGUGGGGAAUAUUGGACGAUGGGCGCAAGCCUGAUCCAGCCAUACCGCGUGGGUGAAGAAGGCCUUCGGGUUGUAAAGCCCUUUUGUUGGGAAAGAAAUCCUGUUGGUUAAUACCCGGCAGGGAUGACGGUACCCAAAGAAUAAGCACCGGCUAACUUCGUGCCAGCCGCCGCUGUAA